CCUCGCGCUUGCUGGACUUUCUUGGGUGCCCUGAAGCCUUCUUCACAACAAUUGAACUGCUCUCGAAGUUCUUGAUGAUCCAAUAAAUGGUUGAUUUAGGUGCAGUGGAAAUGUGUUUUUGGGAUUCAGUAUAUUUGCAUCUGAUCACUCUUCAUAACAUUCUGGAAUAUAUGCAAAUUGCCAUCAUACAAACUGAGGCAGCAGACUUCCUGAAAAUUAAUAUUUGUGUCAUUCUCAACUUUUGGCCACGACUGUUCAUUUAUUCACUCUGUGAUAGAGUUGGAUCCUAUAUUCUACUUUUAUUGUCCUGUAAAUGGUUCAGUGCCUAUACUUUAGGCUGUGUGUAGAAUGGGGCAUAAAGGAAAUUACCUCUACUAAUAAAUGAAUACUAGAUUAUAGUGAUAAGGAAAACAGCAAACAAUUUGGCUUGUGUAUUCAUUUGCCUAUUGCUAAUCAUAAUUAUUUUUACAUAAAAAAGAGAAUACUUCAAAAUGAGAAAAUCCUGCCAUGGAAAAGACGACUGGGUGGACAUAAAGUGUAAAGGAGGGGAAAUAACUCCCACCAUGCAGCAGGACACCUUCAGCUGUGGGGUCUUUGUAAUGCAGAUGGCCAAGGAAGUUGCACAGAACUUCUCCAACAUCCCAUCCCAAACUGAUAUGGAACCUUCAAAAACACAUGGAGCAACUGCAACAAGAAAUGGCUGAAGAUAUACAAAAAAUGUCUGAGUUCAACAAAGCCAACAACUGCGUCAUGUGUGCCACUGAUGAAGAACCUGGAUGUGGCCCAAACACUGACUGGGUUAGUAACUUUAUUUAACAUGUUUAUAAUCCUUUGACAACAGUGACAGCAUGUAAGACAAUUUAUGAUAUAACACAAUGGAUGGCUAAUUCAUCAUACUGCAUUGAUAUUUGAUAUUAUUCAUAACGGGUUACGCUUAGUUGUGUUUUUAUUGAAUGUUUUGCAUGCCUACUGAGGUUCCAUGUGCUGUGCCUCGGAAUGAAGACACAAGAGCUCAACAGAGUAAAGAACACAAACUGGAAGUGCAGUCUUUGUUGUUGAAAAUGCUAUACCCCAUCCACACUGAAGAGGCUCUGACAUGUACAUCAACCAGGGAUAAAGAGGAAGUUAACAUGGUGAAAUGUUUCAUACUUAAUUGAAGUUAAGUGUCUGUUGACAUGUUGGAAAAGAUUAAAGGUCUACAAUUUGUUUAA
This is a long non-coding RNA of Oncorhynchus keta (chum salmon), 1211 nucleotides long. RefSeq lists it as uncharacterized. Lineage: Eukaryota; Metazoa; Chordata; Actinopteri; Salmoniformes; Salmonidae. The record is from RefSeq and is a predicted model, not a curated record. The transcript is spliced from 3 exons.